This 254-nucleotide ribosomal RNA is filed under the name uncultured bacterium. RNAcentral describes it as "partial 16S ribosomal RNA". It matches the Rfam family "Bacterial small subunit ribosomal RNA", at positions 524 to 776 of the family's 1533-position model. The record is from RNAcentral.
UACAGAGGUCUCAAGCGUUGUUCGGAUUCAUUGGGCGUAAAGGGUGCGUAGGCGGCGCGGUAAGUCGGGUGUGAAAUUUCGGAGCUUAACUCCGAAACUGCAUUCGAUACUGCGGUGCUUGAGGACUGGAGAGGAGACUGGAAUUCAUGGUGUAGCAGUGAAAUGCGUAGAGAUCAUGAGGAAGACCAGUGGCGAAGGCGGGUCGUCUGGACAGUUCCUGACACUGAGGCACGAAGGCCAGGGGAGCAAACGGG